RNAcentral lists this ribosomal RNA (220 nucleotides) under uncultured bacterium. Its description in RNAcentral is "partial 16S ribosomal RNA". It matches the Rfam family "Bacterial small subunit ribosomal RNA", at positions 521 to 740 of the family's 1533-position model. The record is from RNAcentral.
UAAUACGUAGGGUGCAAGCGUUAAUCGGAAUUACUGGGCGUAAAGCGUGCGCAGGCGGCUUUGCAAGACAGAUGUGAAAUCCCCGGGCUUAACCUGGGAACUGCAUUUGUGACUGCAUGGCUGGAGUGCGGCAGAGGGGGAUGGAAUUCCGCGUGUAGCAGUGAAAUGCGUAGAUAUGCGGAGGAACACCGAUGGCGAAGGCAAUCCCCUGGGCCUGCAC